RNAcentral lists this ribosomal RNA (400 nucleotides) under uncultured bacterium. RNAcentral's name for it is "bacterial SSU rRNA". It matches the Rfam family "Bacterial small subunit ribosomal RNA", at positions 355 to 747 of the family's 1533-position model. The record is from RNAcentral.
UGGGGAAUUUUGGACAAUGGGCGCAAGCCUGAUCCAGCCAUUCCGCGUGCAGGAUGAAGGCCUUCGGGUUGUAAACUGCUUUUGUACGGAACGAAACGGUUCUCUCUAAUACAGGGGGCUAAUGACGGUACCGUAAUAAUAAGCACCGGCUAACUACGUGCCAGCAGCCGCGGUAAUACGUAGGGUGCAAGCGUUAAUCGGAAUUACUGGGCGUAAAGCGUGCGCAGGCGGUUUUGUAAGACAGAGGUGAAAUCCCCGGGCUCAACCUGGGAACUGCCUUUGUGACUGCAAGGCUGGAGUACGGCAGAGGGGGAUGGAAUUCCGCGUGUAGCAGUGAAAUGCGUAGAUAUGCGGAGGAACACCGAUGGCGAAGGCAAUCCCCUGGGCCUGUACUGACGCU